CGUGGGAGCGAGCCUGCUCGCGAUGGCGGCGGUUCAGUAAUACCUUCAUCAGCCGACAGACCGCCAUCGCGAGCAGGCUCGCUCCCACA
Molecule: unclassified non-coding RNA, 89 nt
Filed under: Pseudomonas mediterranea
Lineage: Bacteria; Pseudomonadati; Pseudomonadota; Gammaproteobacteria; Pseudomonadales; Pseudomonadaceae
Source: RNAcentral